UUUUCAUCGUCAUCUCCAAUUUUCCUCUAAAUUUUUAUACCCACUCAACAGCAGAAACCGCCUAUUGAAAUCGGUAUUUCCCAUCAAUUUAAUAACUUCUCAUCUCCAAUUUCAUGUCUCAUCUCUAUAUCAACACAAAUCUUUCAACAAUUAUUACUUCCCACAAAAUCUUUCAAAAAUAAAAUGCAGUAAUUUUUUUUACAAUUUAUCCGUAUCUAAAUACCUCUGCACACAUUCUCAUAACUUCUCCCAACUUCUCCAUUCAACCGUCUGCAUUCAGAUCAUACAUCUUCCUGUUCUUCGAAAAUAUUUCGCAAUUCAUCUCAAAAUCCCUCUCGGCUCGCAUUUUCAGUCACAUUAGGCAAGAAACUUAAGGUUUUGUUUCGAUGAAAAUCGCCAAUUGGGUAAUUCACGAGUAUGCCGAUGGAUUAAUUCAUGAUCUCCAUGACAAUUUGACGUCUCAUAAUGCACCCAUGCUGUCAACGCCGCCGCCGCGCCGGAGCUUAAUGAAGACAUGACGCUUGAUGAAGACCUGAUAGUGUAUCAUCUAUUCUAAGAUUAAAGGUUUGCUAUGCUUAUUAACAAUAACUUUAGGUUGCUCCACUAGAAGAAGAUGAAGCAAAUGUUGGCUCAAUUGCGUUCUUAAGGUAUUGUGGCUUCAUGUUUGUGCCAAUACUUUGGUCAGAUGGAGAUGAAAUGACAAGGUAUUUCUUUAUAAAUGCAUUUCAU
Molecule: long non-coding RNA, 729 nt
Organism: Erythranthe guttata (spotted monkey flower)
Lineage: Eukaryota; Viridiplantae; Streptophyta; Magnoliopsida; Lamiales; Phrymaceae
Source: RefSeq, a predicted model, not a curated record